This 315-nucleotide ribosomal RNA is filed under the name Triticum aestivum (bread wheat). RNAcentral describes it as "partial small subunit ribosomal RNA". The record is from RNAcentral. Lineage: Eukaryota; Viridiplantae; Streptophyta; Magnoliopsida; Poales; Poaceae.
UACAGAGUCAUCUUGAACCUUGACCAAAGAUUGGACCAGAGAACAUACAAUGCACCAAUCAAUUCGGAGGUAGCUGCAGUGUGGAUUGAAGGAAAUGAAAGAAGAGAUACUUAUGACAAGAGUGUAAUACUACAUGGGAACAACAAUGAAAAAGAACACAUUCGAUCAUAUUACAAGUGCUAUGAUCCGUUGUCGUAUCCUCUAUUCUUUCCAAGAGCUGAACUGGGUUGGCAUAGGAAAAUCCCAAAGAAGAAUACACAAGAGGAAGAUAUUGGUGCUGAUAAUAUCAAUAAUGACGAUGACCCAGAUUCGGUU